This 1494-nucleotide ribosomal RNA is filed under the name metagenome. RNAcentral's name for it is "bacterial LSU rRNA". It matches the Rfam family "Bacterial large subunit ribosomal RNA", at positions 1452 to 2925 of the family's 2925-position model. The record is from RNAcentral.
GCCCUGUAAGCGAUGGGGUGACGCAGGAAGGUAGUCCAGCCCAGGCGAUGGUUGUCCUGGGGUAAGCAUGUAGGGCGGAACGUAGGUAAAUCCGCGUUCUAUUCAGCCUGAGAUGUGAUGCCGAGCCGACUGUGGUGAAGUGGAUGAUCCUAUGCUGCCGAGAAAAGCCUCUAGUGAGUGUUGUGGCGGCCCGUACCCUAAACCGACUCAGGUGGUCAGGUAGAGAAUACCAAGGCGAUCGGGUGAACUGUGGUUAAGGAACUCGGCAAAUUGCCCCCGUAACCUCGGGAGAAGGGGGACCUCUGCUGGUGAUGGGCUUUACGUUCUGAGCUGGUGGGGGUCGCAGUGGCCAGGGGGAAGCGACUGUUUACUAAAAACACAGUCCGUGCGAAGUCGUAAGACGAUGUAUACGGACUGACGCCUGCCCGGUGCCGGAACGUUAAGGGGACCGCUUAGCCAACGCGAGUUGGCGAAGGUGAGAACUUAAGCGCCGGUAAAACGGCGGUGGUAACUAUAACCAUCCUAAGGUAGCGAAAUUCCUUGUCGGGUAAGUUCCGACCUGCACGAAUGGCGUAACGACUUCCCCGCUGUCUCAACCACAGACCCGGCGAAAUUGCACUACGAGUAAAGAUGCUCGUUUCGCGCAGCAGGACGGAAAGACCCCGGGACCUUCACUACAGCUUGACAUUGGCGUUUGGAACGUCUUGUGUAGGAUAGGUGGGAGACUGGGAAGCUGUCACGCUAGUGAUGGUGGAGUCAUUGGUGAAAUACCACUCUGGUCGUUUUGAACGUCUAACUCUGGUCCGUGAUCCGGAUCGGGGACAGUGUCUGGUGGGUAGUUUAACUGGGGCGGUUGCCUCCUAAAGAGUAACGGAGGCGCCCAAAGGUUCCCUCAGCCUGGUUGGCAAUCAGGUGUUGAGUGUAAGUGCACAAGGGAGCUUGACUGUGAGACUGACAGGUCGAGCAGGAGCGAAAGCUGGGACUAGUGAUCCGGCAUCGGCGUGUGGAAGCGGUGUCGCUCAACGGCUAAAAGGUACCCGGGGAUAACAGGCUGAUCUUCCCCAAGAGUCCAUAUCGACGGGAUGGUUUGGCACCUCGAUGUCGGCUCGUCGCAUCCUGGGGCUGGAGUAGGUCCCAAAGGGUUGGGCUGUUCACCCAUUAAAGCGGUACGCGAGCUGGGUUUAGAACGUCGCGAGACAGUUCGGUCCCUAUCCGCUGCGCGCGCAGGAGACUUGAAGGGGGCUGUCCCUAGUACGAGAGGACCGGGACGGACGAACCUCUGGUGUGCCAGUUGUACCGCCAGGUGCACGGCUGGUUGGCUACGUUCGGAAGGGAUAACCGCUGAAAGCAUCUAAGCGGGAAGCUCGCCUUGAGAUGAGGUCUCCCACCCCGUGAGGGGGUAAGGCUCCCGGUAGAUCACCGGGUUGAUAGGCCGGAGGUGGAAGCACGGUAACGUGUGGAGCUGACCGGUACUAAUAGGCCGAGGACUUGACC